This 345-nucleotide ribosomal RNA is filed under the name Rhipicephalus appendiculatus. RNAcentral describes it as "partial 12S ribosomal RNA". Lineage: Eukaryota; Metazoa; Arthropoda; Arachnida; Ixodida; Ixodidae. The record is from RNAcentral.
AGUAUAUAAUAAUUACGAAAGCAAAAAAUUAUGGCGGUAUUUUAAGCUUUUCAGAGGAAUUUGCUCUUUAAUGGAUAAAACACCUAAAUCUUACUUAAAUUUGUCAAAUCAACUUGUAUACCACUAUUAAAACAAUUAUUAACUCUAAUUGUUAAUAUUUAAAAACAUAAAUUAAUUUAAAUUAAGUCAAGGUGCAGUAAAAAUUUAAGAAUGAAGUGAAUUACAUUACUUUUAAGAGAAAUAAAAUUAAAUAAAAUUUAGGAUUUGAAAGUAAAAUUAAAAUAGAAUGUUAAUUUGAAUUAAGCUCUAAAAUAUGUACAUAUCGCCCGUCACUCUUUUUUAAGA